Prosopis cineraria is the source of this 1474-nucleotide RNA transcript. RefSeq lists it as uncharacterized. The record is from RefSeq and is a predicted model, not a curated record. The transcript has 3 exons. NCBI's taxonomy places the organism in Eukaryota, Viridiplantae, Streptophyta, Magnoliopsida, Fabales, Fabaceae.
UGCCAAACUCUUAAAACAGCGUGAGAAGAGGUGGGGAGUGGCAGAGAGAUUCGUUUCCAUCUUUCCUCACCAAGCUUGCUCAUCUUUGUCCUCCUCCUUCAGAUUUAGGGUUAGGGUUUCCCCUCCUUCUCUGAUUUCGUUCAUUUGGACAUGGCUACAACCACUGCGCCAAAACAACAGCAGCAACAGGGUAAUGUGAAACCUGCACUGAGAAAGCCCGUGUUUGUCAAGGUGGACCAGCUCAAGCCUGGUACUAGCGGCCACACUCUCACUGUCAAAGUUCUCAACUCCAACGCUGUCUUGCAGAAGGGUCGUUCUGCUUCCCAGCACCUCCGUCAUACUCGAGUCUCUGAAUGCCUCGUCGGGGACGAGACUGGCUCUAUCCUGUUCACUGCCCGUAAUGAUCAAGUUGAUACUAUGAAACCUGGUACCACUGUUAUUCUCCGGAAUGCUAGGAUCGACAUGUUCAAGGGAUCUAUGAGGCUAGCAGUUGACAAAUGGGGCCGUAUUGAGGUUACUGAGCCAGCACAAUUUACUGUCAAGGAGGAUAACAAUCUGUCGUUGGUUGAGUAUGAGCUGGUAAAUGUAGAGGAGUGACAGGGCUUCUUUUGGCGGCUGACAUAACAUCAUAACAGCAGCUUAGUUUUUGAAGAAAACUGAUGGGUUAUUUGGUCUCCUGGUAUCUUUUCUUUUGUCUCGAGGAUGGAUUUGUAUCAGGGAUCAACUUAUCUUUUGUCUCUUAAUAGGAUAACCUAAAGCAUUUCUACAGGUUUGGUUUGAGGCCACAGUGCCGGCCAAGACCAGUUGCGGCACUGGCCAUUCUGGAUUUUGGUCGAACAGUUUCAAACAGUACAUGACUGAAGGGAUGAUUUCCUCUGCAAUAACAUCUAUAGCACUGUCAUACUGACCUUCUUGAACAUAGCGAGCAGCAGGUAGAAACUCUUGCUGUGCUAGAAAUGAACGUUGAGUACAAUCAUCAAGGAUUCCUUUUAAAUGGCCUGUAGCAUUCUGAAGAAGAUUGAAUGUGUCUCCAUGCAGAAAGGUUGUGUCCCUCUCUGCGCAGGAAAUGGCCAUGAGGGCCAGCCCUUGGCCAUCUGCUGACUUGCUGUUAGGAUCUGCUUGCAGGCAUGCCCUGCAAAUCACUGGUUCUUCAGUUCUGCUGCACAGUGUGUUGAUCGAACUGUCAUCAGAUCUGGCCAUGUCAUCGAGGUUGUGGUACGAGGAGAAGAAGAGUAGGAGGAAGAUGAAAAGAUGGUUGGAGCUGGAAUUCAUUUUGAAAUUAGAAUGAUCUUUUGAUAAUUUUUCAAGGUUGUAUCUUAAUUCUUAAUUACCAGUUCUUUUCUGUUACAUUACUCAUGAUCAUAUUGUUUAUUUGACUGAGAAGGCCGGAAGCAGGCAAUAGAAAGAGACAAAGAAACUACUAUAAAUACAUACUCUGACGGUGCAGUGUUUACUGUAACCUCCGAAAGAUGUU